This 1329-nucleotide ribosomal RNA is filed under the name Cepora nerissa (common gull). RNAcentral describes it as "16S ribosomal RNA". The stretch from base 1078 to 1236 matches the Rfam family "Eukaryotic large subunit ribosomal RNA", at positions 2825 to 2984 of the family's 3401-position model. Lineage: Eukaryota; Metazoa; Arthropoda; Insecta; Lepidoptera; Pieridae. The record is from RNAcentral.
AGGGGAGAAUUAAUAAAUAUAUAAAUAUAAAAAAAAUUUUUAAUAUAAAAUAAUUAAUGGGGGUUAAAGUAUUUUAUAGAAAAAAAAUUGAAAAAUUUAUAGUUAAGUAGUAUUGUGAAAGAAAUUUGAAAAAUAAUGAAAUAAGAAUUAAUUUAAAAGUAAAUUUAAUUUAUUGUAUCUUGUGUAUCAGAGUUUAUUAAAAAAUAAUUUUUUAAAAAAUUAUUUCGAAUUUAAAAGAGUUAAUUAAUUAAAAAAGUUAAUAUUAUAUAAUUAUUUUAAAUAGUUAAUUAGAAAUGAAAAGUUAAUCGUUUUUAAAUAUAUCUAAUUUUUUAGGAAAAAAAUUUAAUUUUGAAUUAAUUUUUUUUUAUUUAUUUAUUAAUUAAUAAAUAAAAAUUUUAAUUUAAUAUUUUAGGGGAUAAGCUUUAAAUUAAAAUAUUAUAAUUAAAAAUAAAUUUAAAUUGAAAAUUUUAAAAUUUAUAUUUUUUAUAAAUUAUAGUUUAUUAUAAAUAAUUUCAUUUAAUUAAAAUUUAAUUUAUAAUUUAAUUUUUUACAAAAAAAAUAAUUUUUAAUAAUAAUAAAUUAGAAAUAAUGAUAAAAUUAGUAUAUAAUUUUAAAAGUUUAUAUAAAUUAUUAAAAUUAAUAAAAAGGAAUUCGGCAAAAAUUUAUAUUCACUUGUUUAUCAAAAACAUGUCUUUUUGAAAAUAAUUUAAAGUCUAAUCUGCCCACUGAAUUAAAAUUUAAAGGGCUGCAGUAUAUUGACUGUACAAAGGUAGCAUAGUCAUUAGUCUUUUAAUUGGAGACUUGUAUGAAUGAUUUGAUGAAAUAUAAACUGUCUCUUUAUUAAUAAUAGAAUUUAAUUUUUUAGUUAAAAAGCUAAAAUUUUUAUAAAAGACGAGAAGACCCUAUAGAGUUUAAUUUUUUAAUUUUUGUAAAUAUUAUAUAAAAAUUAUAAUUUAUAAAAAUUAAAAAAUUUUGUUGGGGUGAUAGAAAAAUUUAAAAAACUUUUUUUAAAAAAUUAACAUUAAUUUAUGAAUUUUUGAUCCAUAAUUUAUGAUUAAAAGAUUAAAUUACCUUAGGGAUAACAGCGUAAUUUUUUUUUUUAGUUCAAAUAAAAAAAAAAGUUUGCGACCUCGAUGUUGGAUUAAGAUAAAAUUUAAAUGCAAAAGUUUAAAAUUUUGAUCUGUUCGAUCAUUAAAAUCUUACAUGAUCUGAGUUCAAACCGGUGUGAGCCAGGUUGGUUUCUAUCUUUAUAUUUAUAUAAUAGUUUAGUACGAAAGGAUCAAUUAUUAUAAAUAAUUUAAUUAUUAAGAAUAUUAUAAAAUAUUUUUU